Molecule: ribosomal RNA, 396 nt
Filed under: uncultured bacterium
Lineage: Bacteria
Description: bacterial SSU rRNA
Rfam family: Bacterial small subunit ribosomal RNA
Source: RNAcentral
UAUUGGACAAUGGGGGAAACCCUUAUCCAGCGACGCCGCGUGAGGGAAGAAGGUUUUCGGAUUGUAAACCUCUGUCAGUGGGGACGAUAAUGACGGUACCCACGGAGGAAGCCACGGCUAACUACGUGCCAGCAGCCGCGGUAAUACGUAGGGGGCAAGCGUUAUCCGGAUUUACUGGGUGUAAAGGGAGCGUAGACGGCGACGCAAGUCUGGAGUGAAAGCCCGGGGCCCAACCCCGGGACUGCUUUGGAAACUGUGCUGCUGGAGUGCAGGAGAGGUAAGUGGAAUUCCUAGUGUAGCGGUGAAAUGCGUAGAUAUUAGGAAGAACACCAGUGGCGAAGGCGGCUUUCUGGACUGAAACUGACGCUGAGGCUCGAAAGCGUGGGGAGCGAACAG